This 229-nucleotide ribosomal RNA is filed under the name uncultured bacterium. RNAcentral describes it as "partial 16S ribosomal RNA". It matches the Rfam family "Bacterial small subunit ribosomal RNA", at positions 568 to 796 of the family's 1533-position model. The record is from RNAcentral.
UACGUAGGCGGUUCCUUAAGUCAGUGGUGAAAUCCUGCAGCUUAACUGUAGAACUGCCAUUGAUACUGAGGAACUUGAAUAUAGAUGAGGUAGGCGGAAUGUGUUGUGUAGCGGUGAAAUGCUUAGAUAUAACACAGAACACCAAUUGCGAAGGCAGCUUACUAGACUAUAAUUGACGCUGAGGUACGAAAGCGUGGGGAGCGAACAGGAUUAGAUACCCUGGUAGUCC